This 253-nucleotide ribosomal RNA is filed under the name uncultured bacterium. RNAcentral's name for it is "partial 16S ribosomal RNA". It matches the Rfam family "Bacterial small subunit ribosomal RNA", at positions 524 to 776 of the family's 1533-position model. The record is from RNAcentral.
UACGUAGGGCGCAAGCGUUGUCCGGAAUUAUUGGGCGUAAAGAGCGUGUAGGCGGCCCGGUAAGUCCGCUGUGAAAGUCGGGGGCUCAACCCUCGAAUGCCGGUGGAUACUGUCGGGCUAGAGUGCGGAAGAGGCGAGUGGAAUUCCUGGUGUAGCGGUGAAAUGCGCAGAUAUCAGGAGGAACACCAAUUGCGAAGGCAGCUCGCUGGGACGUAACUGACGCUGAGACGCGAAAGCGUGGGAAGCAAACAGG